GGAAGCUACAUCUUAUCCCUGCUUCUCUCUCAUGACUGAAUCCACAGUUGCAGCCAGCAACUCCCAGACUGCAGAGACAGCCUAUAAAUCAGGUAAGUGAGGGAUAGGGGAGGCAGCCUACAGAUAAGGUAUGUGAGGGAUGGGGGGGCAGCCUACAGAUCAGGUAAGUGAGGCAUGGGGGGGAGAGACAACCUAUAGAUCAGGUAAGUGAGGC
Pelobates cultripes (western spadefoot toad) is the source of this 214-nucleotide non-coding RNA. NCBI's taxonomy places the organism in Eukaryota, Metazoa, Chordata, Amphibia, Anura, Pelobatidae. The record is from the annotation of a GenBank genome assembly.